Molecule: long non-coding RNA, 1579 nt
Organism: Dreissena polymorpha
Lineage: Eukaryota; Metazoa; Mollusca; Bivalvia; Myida; Dreissenidae
Exons: 4
Source: RefSeq, a predicted model, not a curated record
UACUGCGUACCGUUUUAUCACAGAAAUCGCAGCUAAGAUGUCGUAAGAUUUGUGCUUAAAGCUACGACUGGGUAAGACCACUCUUAGCGUUCGUAAACCUUCGUAAACAUGGCGGCCGCACGCGCUUUAAACGUUGGUCAACCAAGAGAGAUGAGAAUGUUUCGAGAAAGAAAGGAUUUAGCGAUCUCCGUGAUGGAGAAAUAUUGAUACUAUUGGACGUAUUUAUGUUUGAUAACGUUAAAUAUAUUCGUUAUAUCAUUCUCUGCGUUAAACGUCCAAGGGAAAUGAAAUUUGUGAUGUUUGGAUAAUUAAUUCGUUAAAUAGGUUCAUUAAGAUUGUGUCAAAAUGGCUUGGGUCAACACACACAACGCCUCUGUCUUUGUCCGUGGUUUGAAGACUUUUCAGGAAGAAAACCACAAGAGACACCUACUGGGGGACUCUGGCUAUCAACAAUAGGUACAACAAUGCCUAGUCAAGUGUACUGUGGUUGAUAGGGCUUUUGGACUGCCAAAGAGUAGAUUUAGGUGUCUACAUAAAACUGGCGGUUGUUUAUUCAUGAGACUCGAUGAGUACUGUCAAGCAGUGGCUGCAUGAAUGCGCCUGCAUAACUUAUGAAUAGAUUAGCAGGUGCCACUGCCUGAACAACUUACUGAGGCACAAGAAGGGGAUGACGUUGUGCACAGUCCACAACAGGACCAAAAUGCAGCUUAUAUGGACAACACAUCAUUAACUUAUUUAUGUAGUUGCUGUUUUAUGCUCACAUGUGCACGAAGUGCUAUAGGUGAGUCAUUGUGGUCAGUCUAUGUUCGGCGACAUGUGUAAAUAUUCAAUAUUUGACUCUUUGUUGAUGAAAGAUGGUCAUUAUGUUUCUGCUAAUGAUACAUAAUAACUUAAUAAGUUAAUGAUUUCUUGUCUAUGACCUGCUGCAUUUCGGUCAAGUGUGGUCAACAUCUUCUAAAAGUGUGGAUAUUGACAAUUUCUGCCGUUCUUUUUUGGAUUUUUUUUCAUUAAAGACACACUUUUUACAAUAUUCAUUUAUGCAAUGCGUACGAUGAUUACAUGUUUCCUUUAUGGUAUAACAAAGUGAAAAUAAAUUCUACUCCUUUAUUAAAUUAUCUUUGUAACAUAAUAAUACAGGGUUUUCUCCAACAACUCUACAGCUAGGGAACAAUGAAGUGGAACACUAUCUGAAUAUGAAAUACAUUUUAUGUUAAUAAAAUUUGUAUUUGUAAGACAAGUGAUGAAAUAAAAGGUUAACAUUGUAACAUAAUGAGAUGUGGUUUGUGUUUGUUCUUUAAAGAGCAUGUACUGUGUGUACUGCACAUCAGACAAGAUUCUGUUGAAACUAAUAGUUUCAUAUACAAAAUUCUUGAGAAUGAAUUGUAUCAUUUAUGUUAAGAUGGAUUGUUGAUUCAUUAUUACACAUUCAUGAUCUACACUUCAUAAGUUAAUCUUUAAUUUUCAUGGAACUCACAUCUUUUUUUUCUUACCGGCUCAAAUGACUGGGCCUCACAUGCGCUGUUUCGCGGAUUUCCUAUAAUGAUUAUAUAUGAAUGAAUAUGACUCAUAAAAUAACAUA